CGCUGAAUUCCCUCCUUUGGUCCUUAAAGAACUUCUGUUCUCAGUGAUUGGCCCCGGCGGAGGUAGGCCUAGACUUAAAGGGACUGCGCCCUCCAGGGGCACGCGGGAGGGAAGUGACCUGUGGAGUUUGUAGCGGAGUUGGACCACUAACAAGUUCCAGGGUUCCUUUUGGCGCUGGAAAAAAUUUGGAAGUCACCUGGCCUGGUUAUCCGCUAUUUUCAGAAGCCCAGAGAGACUGCGCCGCUGGUUCCAACUGCACACAGCGCUCCUCCUGCUCUUCCAGAAUCGAGGAAAGUUUGCUUCCCCAAGCAGGAGGACUGCAGAAGUGACCGGUGCUGAGCCAACCCCUCUCCACGCCUGCUCCCCUUUGGGCUCAGGGACCCCUGAUUCUAGGGCUGAGCCAGGGCCUGUGUGCAGAUGGAGGCAGAGCAAGCCACUCAGCAGGAGGCUACCAGCGUGAGGCUGUGGCUGGGUGGGGUGUAAGCUGAGCGGCCUCCCCUCACCCACCCCGCCUCUAAACCCCAGCACCUGGUGCGACUGAAAAUAACAGUAAUAACAGCCUUUUCAUCCACGCUACUUCACUGAAUCCACACAACAAGAUCACGAGGUGAGUACUAUCAUUAGUCCCAUUGU
RNAcentral lists this long non-coding RNA (633 nucleotides) under Zalophus californianus (California sea lion). RNAcentral's name for it is "lncRNA (ENSZCAG00015004083.1)". The record is from RNAcentral. Lineage: Eukaryota; Metazoa; Chordata; Mammalia; Carnivora; Otariidae.